GUGCUCACUUUGGCAGUACAUAUACUAAAAUUGGAACGAUACAGAGAUUAGCAUAGCCCCCGUGCAAGGAUGACCUAUAAGUUUAGGAAGCGUUUCAAAUGUUU
Molecule: small nuclear RNA, 104 nt
Organism: Lynx canadensis (Canada lynx)
Lineage: Eukaryota; Metazoa; Chordata; Mammalia; Carnivora; Felidae
Source: Ensembl